AUUGAACGCUGGCGGAAUGCUUUACACAUGCAAGUCGAACGGCAGCACGGGGGCAACCCUGGUGGCGAGUGGCGAACGGGUGAGUAAUACAUCGGAACGUGCCCAGUCGUGGGGGAUAACGUAGCGAAAGUUACGCUAAUACCGCAUACGAUCUAUGGAUGAAAGCGGGGGACCGUAAGGCCUCGCGCGAUUGGAGCGGCCGAUGUCAGAUUAGGUAGUUGGUGGGGUAAAGGCCCACCAAGCCGACGAUCUGUAGCUGGUCUGAGAGGACGACCAGCCACACUGGGACUGAGACACGGCCCAGACUCCUACGGGAGGCAGCAGUGGGGAAUUUUGGACAAUGGGCGCAAGCCUGAUCCAGCCAUUCCGCGUGCAGGACGAAGGCCUUCGGGUUGUAAACUGCUUUUGUACGGAACGAAAAGGUCCUGGUUAAUACCCGGGGCUCAUGACGGUACCGUAAGAAUAAGCACCGGCUAACUACGUGCCAGCAGCCGCGGUAAUACGUAGGGUGCAAGCGUUAAUCGGAAUUACUGGGCGUAAAGCGUGCGCAGGCGGUUAUGUAAGACAGAUGUGAAAUCCCCGGGCUCAACCUGGGAACUGCAUUUGUGACUGCAUAGCUAGAGUACGGUAGAGGGGGAUGGAAUUCCGCGUGUAGCAGUGAAAUGCGUAGAUAUGCGGAGGAACACCGAUGGCGAAGGCAAUCCCCUGGACCUGUAC
RNAcentral lists this ribosomal RNA (717 nucleotides) under uncultured bacterium. Its description in RNAcentral is "bacterial SSU rRNA". It matches the Rfam family "Bacterial small subunit ribosomal RNA", at positions 28 to 740 of the family's 1533-position model. The record is from RNAcentral.